GACGUAGGGGGCAAGCGUUGUCCGGAUUCAUUGGGCGUAAAGAGCUCGUAGGCGGCUUGGCAAGUCGGAUGUGAAAUCUCCAGGCUCAACCUGGAGUCGCCAUCCGAUACUGCCAUGGCUAGAGUCCGGUAGAGGAUCGUGGAAUUCCUGGUGUAGCGGUGAAAUGCGCAGAUAUCAGGAGGAACACCAAUGGCGAAGGCAGCGAUCUGGGCCGGUACUGACGCUGAGGAGCGAAAGCGUGGGGAGCGAACAGG
RNAcentral lists this ribosomal RNA (254 nucleotides) under uncultured bacterium. RNAcentral describes it as "partial 16S ribosomal RNA". It matches the Rfam family "Bacterial small subunit ribosomal RNA", at positions 524 to 776 of the family's 1533-position model. The record is from RNAcentral.